CCGUGUGUGUGUGUGUGUUUCAGCAGAGGCCCCUGCAGCCUGCAAGGGGCCCUCUGUAUGAGGGGCGAUUAAUGCCUCCGAGAGGCAGGCAAACAGGAAGGAGAUCAUUAAAGUAUGCUAAUGAUUUGCUUACCAAAGUUCAGAUAAGAUGUUAAUAGAACACAAAAU
Etheostoma spectabile (orangethroat darter) is the source of this 168-nucleotide long non-coding RNA. RefSeq lists it as uncharacterized. Lineage: Eukaryota; Metazoa; Chordata; Actinopteri; Perciformes; Percidae. The record is from RefSeq and is a predicted model, not a curated record. The transcript has 3 exons.